Rhipicephalus microplus (southern cattle tick) is the source of this 598-nucleotide long non-coding RNA. NCBI's taxonomy places the organism in Eukaryota, Metazoa, Arthropoda, Arachnida, Ixodida, Ixodidae. The record is from RefSeq and is a predicted model, not a curated record.
AAGUCACAUGGCUGGGCUGGCGGUUAUUGCUACUUCAUAACAAUUUAUUUAUUUAUUUACAGGUUACUGCUAGCCUGGGUGCCAGGCUUUGAGCAGGUGUGGGCGAUACAAAAGAAGAAAACAGGAUAACAUACAAGCAUAACAAUACACUUCUAAGGGUACACUUUGAACCGGAAAAAAAACCGGAACCGGAAUAUACUGUACAAGUGCUAUCGGUAGGAUAACAACUACUAUUGAAGACUAAAUCAUGCCGAAUUCAACAGGGCACGAAGAAAGGAUGAGACAUCAGAACAUUGCACAACAUUAGCAGGUCACCUUCAAAGCAACACGAAGAUGUCAGGGCAGCAGUUGAAGACAUGGAUGGGCACGACUCUACUGAAUAUAACAGUCCCUAGGAGCGUGUCAUGUACUGUUUUGUUAUAUCACAGCUUCUCUCUUUUGUACUAUCUGCCGAACUUGUCAAUACAUAUUUCUUCAAUGCUCUGUUCCAGUUUAUAUGUAAACCUAAACAUGCUUAUGUAUGUAUGCAAUAUCUAGUCACAGUGUGCAAUGUACGUGUUUUCUGCUUUGUUCUUGAAUAAAAAAAGAAUGUAUGCAA